This 91-nucleotide transfer RNA is filed under the name Isoptericola cucumis. RNAcentral describes it as "tRNA-Leu". Lineage: Bacteria; Bacillati; Actinomycetota; Actinomycetes; Micrococcales; Promicromonosporaceae. The record is from RNAcentral.
GGCUCGACAGGUCGUGGACGACGAGACCGAUGAGGCCGGUGCGGCUGGAGCGCAGGCUCCGGGCGCCGACGUGCGGGACGUAGCCGAGCCG